AUAGUGAAAAACAAAUGACAAUAUUUUAUAAAAAUCUGCAGACACUAAUAAAAGCAUGUCGUAACUAGGGGUGUCAAAAUGGGUCAAAAUUCAUGGGUCAACUCAAUUUAACUCAACCCAUGAACCCUAAUGAGUUAAAUUUUUUGACUCAAAUGAGUUGAUGGGUCAAAUGAGUUAUUGGGUCAAUUGGUUUGAUGAGUCAAAUGAGUCAAAUUGAAUUAAACCAAGUAAAAUCUCUAAACCAAUGCCAAUUUAAGCUUAACCAAAACAUCUAAACCAAUUUAAUAAAAUCAAUAUUUUCCAAAUUUCUUAAAUAUACAAGCGAUGUAAUUGAAAAAAGUAAACUCGUAAUUUUUCCACCAAAAAACAUAAACCCGUGAUUUUCCCGCCAAAAACGUAAACCCAUGAUUUUCCCGCCAAAAGCGUAAACCUGUAAUUUUCCCGCCAAAAACUCGUAACGUUAUGAAUUUUUUUGGCGUGAAAAUUCCGGGUUUACGCUUUUGGCGGGAAAAUUCCGGGUUUUGGUUUUUGGCGGAAAAAUUACAGGUUUACGCUUUUGGCGGGAAAAUUACAGGUUUACGCUUUUGGCGGGAAAAUCAUGGGUUUACGUUUUUGGCGAGAAAAUCACGGGUUUAUAACUCAUUUGACCCAUCAACUCAUUUGAGUCAAAAAAUUUAACUCAUUAGGGUUCAUGGGUUGAGUUGAGUUGAGUUGAGCCAUGAAUUUUGACCCAUUUUGACACUCCUAGUUAUACCACAGAUUUGUUACACAACCAUUUGAAAUAUU
This 786-nucleotide small RNA is filed under the name Arabidopsis thaliana (thale cress). RNAcentral's name for it is "ATSL044720". The record is from RNAcentral. Lineage: Eukaryota; Viridiplantae; Streptophyta; Magnoliopsida; Brassicales; Brassicaceae.